Molecule: ribosomal RNA, 468 nt
Filed under: uncultured bacterium
Lineage: Bacteria
Description: partial 16S ribosomal RNA
Rfam family: Bacterial small subunit ribosomal RNA
Source: RNAcentral
GACGAACGCUGGCGGCGUGCUUAACACAUGCAAGUCGAACGGAAAGGCCCUGCUUUUGUGGGGUGCUCGAGUGGCGAACGGGUGAGUAACACGUGAGUAACCUGCCCUUGACUUUGGGAUAACCUCAGGAAACUGGGGCUAAUACCGGAUAGGAGCUCCUGCUGCAUGGUGGGGGUUGGAAAGUUUCGGCGGUUGGGGAUGGACUCGCGGCUUAUCAGCUUGUUGGUGGGGUAGUGGCUUACCAAGGCUUUGACGGGUAGCCGGCCUGAGAGGGUGACCGGCCACAUUGGGACUGAGAUACGGCCCAGACUCCUACGGGAGGCAGCAGCGGGGAAUAUUGCACAAUGGGCGGAAGCCUGAUGCAGCAACGCCGCGUGCGGGAUGACGGCCUUCGGGUUGUAAACCGCUUUCGCCUGUGACGAAGCGUGAGUGACGGUAAUGGGUAAAGAAGCACCGGCUAACUACGUG